Non-coding RNA from Pangasius djambal, 73 nucleotides. The record is from the annotation of a GenBank genome assembly. NCBI's taxonomy places the organism in Eukaryota, Metazoa, Chordata, Actinopteri, Siluriformes, Pangasiidae.
GUUGUGGUGGCCUAGUGGUUAAAGCUUUGAAUUAUAGCUCAGAAGGUCAUGUGUUUGAAUCCCAGUGUCACCU